RNAcentral lists this long non-coding RNA (1002 nucleotides) under Anser cygnoides (Swan goose). Its description in RNAcentral is "lncRNA (ENSACDG00005016440.1)". The record is from RNAcentral. Lineage: Eukaryota; Metazoa; Chordata; Aves; Anseriformes; Anatidae.
GGUGAGCCGGUCACCCCUAAAGGCACCAGCCGCGGGGAGAGCUCGUGCGGGGCUGCGGCAACCGGGGCCGAGCGCUGCCGGUUUGGCGGGACCCGACGGGCGCGGCGGGAACCCGGAGCCCUCGUGCUGGAGAUUCGGGCUCGGAUCGACCGGGACACGGACACCGUGGGGAACCGGGCCCCGGGGAAUCGGGCCCUCGGCCGCCCUCGGGACCCGCCGGUGGCCGACCCGCCGCAGACGCUCCCGGUGCGGAAACGGCAGCGCGGUUCGACGGGACCGCCGGUGCUCCCCGCUCCGGUGCCAGCCCGUGCGGGACCGGGGCGCCGGGGCGAGAGCCGCCGCCGAGUACCGGGGCGGGACGGCCCGCGCUCGGUGCGCAGCGGAGGUUUCGGCGCUGGGUGUACCGUGCAGGGGGCUGCCGAGCUGCCCGGGGAGCGAUGCCUCACCUCCGGGUGCGCCCGUCCGAAGCGGGCAUCCUGCCCCGCCGGCUGCCGGUUCCCGGGCAAGCGCCGGGCUCCCGCACACCGGCAAUCGGCGAGCUCCGGGCCGCGUAACGCGCCCUACCUGGGCCCUCCGCCGCCGGCGUGGUCCACCCCGGCCCCCGGCGGUUCGCGGGGCCCCGGUGCCGCGGAGAGGGGCCGGGCCCGGUGCGGGCCGCACGGAGCUCCCGGUGCCUUCGGGGCCCCGCACCCCCGAGGACGGGGCGCCCGCAGCGGGAGCCCGCAGCACCAUCUGCUGGUCACGGGCCCGGUCCGGGGGAGCCGGCACCCACCUGCGGCCAUCCCUGCGCCGGGGGGGUCCGGAGGUGGCGGGGCCGAGCGGUACGAGGGCACCGACACACACAGCUGCCUGCUCCCGGUGUCCCGGGCCCCGGGGAAAAAAAAGCCGUGGGCGAUCACGGAGGGGGCACGGUGCGCCCGUGCGCUGAGUAGUAGCGGGGGGAAGGAUGAAGCACCCCCCCACGCACCCCGUUCCCCGGCAGAAAGCUCCGCUGGGGCUUAA